AGAUGUCGUUCUAUUCUCUAAUAUAUAAAUAUAUAGAUGUCUUUCUGAACGUGAGUAGUUAUCGUAGGUUUAAUGUUAUUAUCACAGUGGGUUGAACAAGUUGGACGUGAGUAGUUAUCGUAGGUUUAAUGUUGUCAUUACAGCGGGUUGAACAAGUUGGACGUGAGUAGUUAUCGUAGGUUUAAUGUUGUUAUCCCAGUGGGUUGAACAAGUUGAACGUGAGUAGUUAUCGUAGGUUUAAUGUUGUUAUCACAGUGGGUUGAACAGGUUGAACGUGAGUAGUUAUCGUAGGUUUAAUGUUGUUAUCACAUUGGGUUGUACAAGUUGAACGUGAGUAGUUAUCGUAGGUUUAAUGUUGUUAUCACAGUGGGUUGAACAAGUUGGACGUGAGUAGUUAUCGUAGGUUUAAUGUUGUUAUCACAGUGGGUUGAACAAGUUGGACGUGAGUAGUUAUCGUAGGUUUAAUGUUGUUAUCACAGUGGGUUGAACAAGUUGGACGUGAGUAGUUAUCGUAGGUUUAAUGUUCUUAUCACAGUGGGUUGAACAAGUUGAACCAGUUUUAUUCAUAAAACCAUAUUUGUGUCUGCAUGAAGGUCAAAGAAAGGAGAAUAAUAAUCCAUCGGACAGAGUAAUAGAAAAUGGUGUAUCUCCUGACAAAACGUUACCUUUUGUGUCCAGUCGACGUCAGCAGAACAAAAGGUCAUCUCCGGUCAUCCUCUGUUCUACGUCGAGCUUCCGUGCUCUACCAUUGUCCAGUUCCGUCUCUCUACCUGGUCUGAAUGUUAGUGACAACUAUGACCCACCUAAGUGCCUGACUCCAAUUCAAGGCCUGAAAUCAAAUACAGGUAACCUACCCUUGUCGUCUGUUAAAGAGCUCGGAAUGCCCUCUAGGUGUUUUGGUGCAAAGCGAAACGUGAAACAACUUGGAGAAUGAAGUUUGACAGUGUUAGAAACUCUGAUGUUUUGUUUCUUGAUCCAGCCCUAGAAGUGUGUGAUAUAUGUUCCUUAUUGGAGAAAAACGAUGUAAAAUACACGUUAUUUAUGUUCUACUUAUAUUUUAUUAAAGUAAAAUUCACCAGAUCAGAGAAAAUAAGUGUCUCUUUAUGACUCCAGGAAACAGUCGGUAAUAGAAAAAAUUCAAAGUUCUACAGCACCUGGCGGCAAACUUCAUGACUCUAGAAAACAGUCGGUAAUGGAAAAAAUACAAACUUCUACAGCACCUGGCGGCAAACUUCAUGACUCUAGAAAACAAUCGGUAAUGGAAAAAAUUCAAACUUCUACAGCACCUGGCGGCAAACUUCAUGACUCUAGAAAACAAUCGGUAAUGGAAAAAAAUACAAACUUCUACAGCACCUGGCGGCAAACUUCAUGACUCCAGGAAACAGUCAGUAAUGGAAAAAAAUACAAACUUCUACAAGCACGUGGUGGCAAAACUUCAUGGCUCUAGAAAACAGUCGGUAAUGGAAAAAAAUACAAACUUCUACAGCACUGGUGGCAAACUUCAUGACUCUAGAAAACAGUCGGUAAUGGAAAAAAAUACAAACUUCUACAGCACCUGGUGGCAAACUUCAUGACUCUAGAAAACAGUCGGUAAUGGAAAAAAAUACAAACUUCUACAGCACUGGUGGCAAACUUCAUGACUCCAGGAAACAGUCGGUAAUGGAAAAAAAUACAAACUUCCACAGCAACUGGU
RNA transcript from Limulus polyphemus (Atlantic horseshoe crab), 1693 nucleotides. RefSeq lists it as uncharacterized. The record is from RefSeq and is a predicted model, not a curated record. Lineage: Eukaryota; Metazoa; Arthropoda; Merostomata; Xiphosura; Limulidae. The transcript is spliced from 3 exons.